CGGAUUACAGAGCAUAAUUAGGGUAUAAUCUUCACUACAAGUCCAAAAGGUGGUAACAUAACAUGCUAUGCCUAUUACAGUUCAUAUCUAUCUAUUUCAGAGUUCGGACUAAUGUUGAAAGUGUGAAUUUCUGUGUUCUGUAUUUGUUACUUUGAUGAUGAGCUACUAACCUGUGUUUCGCUGCAGGUAGUUUUUCCUUUCAUCCCACUGCAUGAUUAUGGAUCUGUCACAGGUAAAAGAAACCAAUCAAGUUAAAAAUGUAUCCAGUAGGGUGUAUUAAAUUACUCAUGUAAGGCCACGUGUUACACAUGGAUGCAUUAAUUUUUCAUUUAUUUCAAUCUGUUAACUAUAAAAUGCAUUAGGAAGAUUAAAACGCACUAGGAAGGUGAAAAUACUACCAAUUUUAUGAAUGCACACUGUAUCACAAAAUGUUGCACUAUAAACUAGACCUAUCUCAGCUACAGGUAUUAAUAAAAUAUCGAUUAACCUGUUAUAUUAUCAUAGAAAAAUAAACACAAAAUUAGUGAGGCCAAACAGUAGCACUAUAGUUUGGUGGACACUUGAUAUGCCCACACAGAAUGCAUUUGCACGCACACAAAGAAUGACUAUGCGACGCAUCAACACUAUAAAAAGAUGACUCAGUAACAUAUUAAUGGGCUGGGUAGGAUCAGGCCAACAGCGCCCAAAUCUUCAUUGUGUGGUCAGAGAAAAGCAUAUGAGUGAACUAAUGUGAUACUUUUCAUUCUCUGAUAAAAUUUAAUGUUAUCCAAUCAUGCAGGCUAACUGGUGCUAUGGUACUCCGUGUAUUUGAGAAGGCAGAUCGAGCUAAGGUUUAUUGUCACAUGUUGAAGUCUGAAGUGUCCGUGUAAUCGUCAAAUAAAGCCAUAUCUGUGUCUGCCGGUGUCCUUUUCCAGUUUUGCAUGAAGCAUUCAAAAUCCGCACGUGUAAUCAUCUUUGGCCAUCAUCCACAACCUUGAGGCUCAAAAACCAUCUUCGGGAACUAGGAGUGCAUGUGAAAUGGCUUAGAUGACUCAAUGUAAAAUAUAUUUAAGCAUUAAGCAUGUCAAUUAUUUAAUUUGUGCUUUUGAGUCAGUUCAUGUGUUGCUGUUCUGUGUUCAAUUUGAAUUCCAUCCCCUUGAAGGAAAUGAGAGGUCAUGAAUCAGAAGCCUGCAAGAAGUAGUCAAUAUUAUUGAAGCCCGAUCUUUUCCAACCAUAAAAGCUGGAUUGUACGCAUGCAUCUAUUGUGGCUGCCAUGGCUACAUAUCGUUCUCACAUGCCCUUUUCAUUCAACUAUGAUGUUCAAUUCUCAUUUCACCCCCAAAUACAUUCGCGCUAGAUUGGAAUUCGGAGACUAAAACUACCCCUGGAUUUCCUAGCUCGGUUCUACAGAACAUGUUCACAAGUGACAAGUAAUGAUUCAGCAUCGCAACAGCAAUCUGUAAAUAAUUGUAUCUUAGCAUGAAUGCCUAACUCUAAUCAUGUAUGUACGCAUUGCAUAGGUACAUGAAGGGGCAAGGAUAUCGAAGAGAACCUGCAGUUUAAUAUGCCACUGACCAACCUAGCAAUUGUGUGGAACCAUGGUUUGUGAACCAGACUCACCAUUACAGGAUGCAGGACAUUUUGGCACAAACUCGAAUUUAGCGGGUAUCUCAUGUAUAUAUUU
This 1663-nucleotide long non-coding RNA is filed under the name Setaria viridis. Its description in RNAcentral is "long non-coding RNA (SVIR_LNC002528)". The record is from RNAcentral. Lineage: Eukaryota; Viridiplantae; Streptophyta; Magnoliopsida; Poales; Poaceae.